GGUUUUAUAGUGUAGUGGUGAUCACUCCGGAUUUUGAGGCCUCGUGCACAAAAUCUUCCGGCAACCCCGGUUCGAACCCGGGUAAGACCU
Non-coding RNA from Dissoconium aciculare CBS 342.82, 90 nucleotides. The record is from the annotation of a RefSeq genome assembly. NCBI's taxonomy places the organism in Eukaryota, Fungi, Ascomycota, Dothideomycetes, Mycosphaerellales, Dissoconiaceae.